CUGUGUCUCUCAUGAAUAAAUAAAUAAAAUCUUUAAAAAAAUAAGAAUAUGAAACCUGUGUAUAGGUGGAGAGGAAGUAGGAUGAUCCAUCUGGAGACUAGAGACUGAGCUAAGGCAAGGAGGCAGGAAUGAGCAUGGCAUAUUUGAGGGAAGGUGAGGAGUUACUUGAGACAAAGGUGACAGGGCUGGAAAGACAGGUGUGGGUCAGAUCCUGAGGGAUCUUGAGUGCCAGAUACAAUCUGUUCUAUACCAAUGGCAGAAGAGCACUACAAAGGGACAUGCAUUAGUUCAGGGAAAUUUACUGGCUGGAUGCGCAAGAUAACAUAGAAAGUGGAAAAUAAUAGAGUCAAAGAGAUCAACUGAAAGACUAUUACGGUAAUGCUGAGAGACAUGAAGGAGGCCUAGGUCAGGGUUAUGGCAGGGGAAACAAGAAGUAAAUUGUGAAAAACAGCUUAGGAGAAGGUCAUCGGUAUUCAGUUACCUACUGGAAAGGAUGCAGUGGUGAGGAAGUGGAAAGAACAGGCAAAAGAGAAGUGGAAACGAAUCCAAGCUGCAAGCCUGACUAAGGAGAAGAAAACAGUACCUGUGAUUUAAAAGAUGAAGCCCCAAAGGGAGAAAUAAGAAAUGACCGAUACUUUGAAAUUUAUAGAUUCGAGGUUGGAACUGUGAGAAAAAUCACUCAAAUAAAAAUGGCCUUCUGAGAGUUGAAAAUAAGAAGCUAGAAUUCGCGGGAGAGGUCAGAAUUCUAUGUAGAAGUCAUCUAAAUUUGAUUUUUGGAAAUAAUCUCUGUAGAAGUAGUAGCCAAAGUUAUGAGAAUACAAGACCCUUGAAGAAAGGCAACAGGACAAAAAUAGCAAAGGUCAAGGCUGGUUAGCCUAUAAAUUCAAUUGCCAUGAAUUUCUACCUGGUUUAUUCCCAUAAAACGGGCACUGCUGAUAUGUUAGGCUAGAUAAUUCUUUGUUCUGGUGACUACCCUGUGUAUUCCUGAGAAGUUCAGCAGCAUCCCCGGCCUCUACCACUAGGUGCCAGUAACACCCCCUCCCUCAGCUAUGCAACCAAAAAUAUCUCCAGACAUCAUCUAAGAUCUCCUGGGAGGCAAAACCACUCCCAGAGGAGAACCACUGCCCUCAGGGGUGGCCAGUUUCUGUACCCAGAGUGCUGACUUUGAAUCUCACUCAACCUUCUUCUGUUUGAACAAACCUGACAUGUCACUUAAUCUGAGCCACAGUUUCAUCUGCAAAUAGACAGAUAUAAUAAUUGUCCCCACAUUAUAUUGCUGGUGGUAAAGCUAGAUGAUAAUGCAUAUAAAGUGCCUGGCAAGCGAGCGUGCAAGAAGUGGGAGCUGUUACUGUGCUGUAUAAAUAUGAGACAUCACCUACGCUGUGUCUGAGCUCAUUCCCUGUACGUUGAGGCACAGAGAGAGGCCAGAUGACUAGCAACAAAGCAACAAAUGCAGGGUUUUCUUUAGAUAGCACUUCAUUCAAGGCAUAAUAUAAAAUUGAGCCACUAGACAAAUCUUAUUAUUAUAUGUCAUUUUAUAUAUUAGUCAGGUGUUUCUAGGAUCCAAAAGGUCACAUGGGCCUCACAUAUACUUUCCUCUGUGAUGUUAAUAGUGAUAUCUUUCUUUCUCCUUUUUUUUUUUUAAGAGAGAAAGAGAGGAAACUGGGGUGAGUGGCAGAGGGGGUAAGAAGAGAGAGAAUCUUAAGCAGGCUCCAUGCCCAGCGUGGAGUCCAACAUGGGGCUCAGACUCACAACCCUGAAAUCAUGACCUGAACCAAAAUCAAGAAUGAGAUGCUUAACCGACUGAGCCUCCCAGGCACACCACUAGUGAUUUUUGUUUUUAAGAACAAAGACUAAAAUAUGAUAUGUGAUUUAAAAAGCAAAAGACAUAAAAAGGUUACUUCUUAGUUGAGUUAAAAAUUUAAGAAUCAUCUGGAAAAGAUUUUAAUUUGUGUUCGCUUUACAUUAGCUCAGCAUUUCAGUAAGUGGGAACAAUGCCACUCCACAUAUAAUAUGUUAGGCCCCUGUGCCACGUAUUGUGCUAGGUUGGACUAGAAAGAGGAAGCUUCAUGGCUUCUGCUCUCAAAACACAGGUCUAGGGAGGAGAAAGAAUGCCUAAUGCCACAUAAGACCUUAAUACAAAGUGUAUAGGAACUGAGUGAAGUUCUGGUCUCCCCAUGAAAUCCAGACUUAUCUUCACAGGGGGAGUGACAUGACCUGAGAUGAAGAAUGAACAUGCGUUGAUAGGAGGAUAAGUGUUAGGACACAUGUUCCAGACAGAGGGAACACACAGUAUAGACAGUCACAGUCAUAAGAGACAUUGCAACGUGCAGAGAAUUGCAAUUAUUUGUGUUUCUGGAGUGUAAAAUUCAAGGUGGGCAGUUGUAGGAUUGACUCUGAACUCAGGUGGAUGAGGGUUAGAUCGUGAAGGGCCUUGCACAUCAGGCAAAAAUAUCAAACUUCAUCCUGUAAUCCAUGAGGAACCAUUUGGAGAUUACUGUCCAUAGAGUUUGACUACAAACUAGUGAAAGAAAGUUUUGGAAUCAGGUGCUAAUUUUAAUUUGGUUUAGCAUUAGAACUUCUCCUCUUCCUCCUCUUCCUCCCCCUCUCCCUUUUCUUCCUUCUCCUCCUUUACUCCUACUGCUUUAAAUCUGUCCAAGAAAACACUAAAUGGCAUUUUAAAAUAUUGUAUUUUUACAUAACUUCAUAAAAUGCAUGCCAUAAAUAUCACUGUAUCACAGAUAAUUCAAAAUUAAACAAGCACAGGGCGCCUGGGUAGCUCAGUGAGUUAAGCGUCUGUCUUUGGGUUCAGGUCAUGAUCCCAGAGUCCUGGGACUAAGUCCUCAAUAUGACUCCUUGAUCAGCAGGGAAUUGCCUUCUCCCUUUGCCCGCCCCUCCACCCCUCUCAUGGGUGCAGGCAGGCUUCUCUCUCUCUCUCUCAAAAAUAAAUAAAUACAUAUUUUUUUUAAAAAAUAAAGAAGCACAGAAAACAAAUGAAUACAUAAGAUGUGAACUAACACUUUACAGGUUAAAACAUAAAUUGGAAAUAAAAUCUUAACAUCAAAUAAGAAACUACUCCUUUCACGGGAUAACAUAAAGCUAGGUGUUUCUGCAAGGAGCCACCAGAGGGAACUCAAGUGUGGGAUUCUGCUGCAGGCGGCCUCCUAGCGAGCAUGCCUGCCUGCCAGGAAACAGAAUUCUUUUGCAAAUCCGUUUGCCUGGCUUGUCUAUUUUGAUCAAAAUACUUCAGUCUUGCAGAAAUAAUUUAGCUGAUGCCAGAGUCUAUUUAACACACUACAAGGUGGAUCAUUACUGACGCCUGGCCUUGAUCCUGGAAUCAGACUCUCCAUCCCUAUUUCUAGCUCCUGCAUACAGGAGACAACAUUCAAAUAAGCUUCAAGUAAGAUGGAUUGCAGGCUCAGCCUCCAGGUUUACCUCCACCUGCUUGUGUGAGGGGAAUAUGGGGAGAGGAAAGGAAAACAAUGGAACUACAAACUAGGGAAAGGAAACUCUCAUCCCAGACUUACCACAGUUGCUGAGGAACCAGAGAUUAACUGGAGGAAGCUAAAAGCAACUGGAACUUAGGGAAGAGAAAGUGGCACCUGUCCCCUACCAUCUAGUCCACCUUAGACCCAGGGCUGGAACAAAGAGGGGAGGGUGACCUGGAGCUCCUAAGACCCCACAGUCAUCUCUAGUUUGGAAUAUGAGGCUGAAGGCGGUAUAGGACUAUGAAUUGCUUAGCGUUAAAUACAAAACAGCAGAGUGAACUACCCUCAAUAAUAACUUUCGUGGAAAGCAUUUCAUUAAUUCUCAAAAUGACUACAUUUUACUCAGAUCCCACAGUUAAGACUUUCGUUUCAUGAACUAUAGCAUCAGGCCCUGGGGGAAAAAUGGAAAAUUUAUAGGCUCUCCCUUAAUAACUAUCCAGUUGAUACGAUAAAAUACAGAUACAUAAACAGAAAUACAAAGGGAUAGCCGGUGAGUUAGGGCUAGCAUACAUAGCAUAGAGAGAAAAAGAAUAAGAAAGGAUUGAAAUGGUCAAAGAAACCCCCAGGUUGGGUCCACAGAGACAGACACCUGUAGAGAAAGGUGACUCAGGAAAUAUAGAAAAAAAAUAGAUACAAAUCCUCCUUUGGAAAGAUUACCAGGACUUGACAUGGGGCAUAAAUUGAGGGAGAAAUUGUUUUAAAAGGGUCUAUUAGCAGAUGGAAAAGGGUAUUUUUAAGUUGUUCUUUUGAGGGUUAAUCUGAGAAGUAGACAAGAAACCAGAAGGAAUAUUAAUUGACUGGAAGUUCCUACCAAGCCCAUAGUACGUCAGUGGUCUUGAGCAUGUCACCUGAUCCCCUUGGACCUGUGCAUCUGUAAUGUGGGGCUUCUCAAAUCUAUUGUGCAGAGUUGUUUUAAGGAAUAGUGAGAUAAUGUGUGAAGGGUACCCAGCAAGAGCAGGCACUGAAUAAAUAAAUAAAUAUAAAUAAAUAAAUAAAUAAAUAAAUAAAUAAAUAAAUAAAUAAAUAAAAAUAAAUAAAAAUAAAUAAAUAAAUAAAUAAAUAACUAUAACAAACUCAUCGUAAUGAUGGCAAUAGUAGGUAUGCUCAUCCUUGCGUUUCUCAGCCUUACUCCCUUUCCCUGGAGCCUAUCCAAACCUAAGGACAUGCCACUUAUUCUCUGAGGCCUCAGUAUCUGAAAGAAUAAAAACAAGAUAAUAUUAUUUUACUUUUUACAGAUACACGAAGUUCUUAGCGAUAUUAAUGUUUUCACCU
RNAcentral lists this long non-coding RNA (4760 nucleotides) under Canis lupus familiaris (dog). RNAcentral's name for it is "lncRNA (ENSCAFG00000055508.1)". The record is from RNAcentral. Lineage: Eukaryota; Metazoa; Chordata; Mammalia; Carnivora; Canidae.